This 253-nucleotide ribosomal RNA is filed under the name uncultured bacterium. RNAcentral describes it as "partial 16S ribosomal RNA". It matches the Rfam family "Bacterial small subunit ribosomal RNA", at positions 524 to 776 of the family's 1533-position model. The record is from RNAcentral.
UACGUAGGUGGCAAGCGUUGUCCGGAAUUAUUGGGCGUAAAGCGCGCGCAGGCGGUCCCUUAAGUCUGAUGUGAAAGCCCACGGCUCAACCGUGGAGGGUCAUUGGAAACUGGGGGACUUGAGUGCAGAAGAGGAAAGUGGAAUUCCAAGUGUAGCGGUGAAAUGCGUAGAGAUUUGGAGGAACACCAGUGGCGAAGGCGACUUUCUGGUCUGUAACUGACGCUGAGGCGCGAAAGCGUGGGGAGCAAACAGG